This 394-nucleotide ribosomal RNA is filed under the name uncultured bacterium. Its description in RNAcentral is "bacterial SSU rRNA". It matches the Rfam family "Bacterial small subunit ribosomal RNA", at positions 30 to 425 of the family's 1533-position model. The record is from RNAcentral.
AUUGAACGCUGGCGGCAUGCCUUACACAUGCAAGUCGAACGGCAGCGGGCCUUCGGGUGCCGGCGAGUGGCGAACGGGUGAGUAAUAUAUCGGAACGUACCUUUCAGUGGGGGAGUAACGUAGCGAAAGUUACGCUAAUACCGCAUAUUCUGUGAGCAGGAAAGCAGGGGAUCGCAAGACCUUGCGCUGAUUGAGCGGCCGAUAUCAGAUUAGCUAGUUGGUGAGGUAAAGGCUCACCAAGGCGACGAUCUGUAGCGGGUCUGAGAGGAUGAUCCGCCACACUGGAACUGAGACACGGUCCAGACUCCUACGGGAGGCAGCAGUGGGGAAUUUUUGGACAAUGGGCGCAAGCCUGAUCCAGCCAUGCCGCGUGAGUGAAGAAGGCCUUCGGUUG